This 459-nucleotide ribosomal RNA is filed under the name uncultured bacterium. Its description in RNAcentral is "partial 16S ribosomal RNA". It matches the Rfam family "Bacterial small subunit ribosomal RNA", at positions 338 to 795 of the family's 1533-position model. The record is from RNAcentral.
CCUACGGGCGGCAGCAGUGAGGAAUAUUGGUCAAUGGGAGAGAUCCUGAACCAGCCAAGCCGCGUGAGGGAAGACGGCCCUAUGGGUUGUAGACCUCUUUUGUCGGGGAACAAAACCCGGGACGUGUCCCGGACUGCGUGUAUCCGAAGUACACGCAUCGGCUAACUCCGUGCCGGCAGCCGCGGUAAUAGGGAGGAUGCGAGCGUUAUCCGGAUUUCUUGGGGUGAAAGGGUGCGUAGGCGGUCCGUUAAGUCAGCGGUAAACUUGCGGGGCUCAACCCCGUCGAGCCGUUGAUACUGGCAGACUAGAGUUGGCGAGAAGUACGCGGAAUGCGAGGUGUAGCGGUGAAAUGCACAGAUAUCGCGCAGAACACCGAUUGCGAAGGCAGCGUACCGGCGCCAGACUGACGCUGAGGCACGAAAGCGUGGGGAUCGAACAGGAUUAGAUACCCUUGUAGUC